GUAUUUAUACAGUUUUUUCAUAUGGACAUUAACCACCUAAGAGUGCAAAGCAAACAAGAGCAGAGUUAGAAGCUACUUCGAAUUAGGUAAAAUAUAAUUUGACAUGGGAAAUAAUCCCAACGGUCCUAGUCUCUUUAACAACUACACAGAUUAUCCAUGUCGAGUACAACUAGGUAGACAUGCAUUCAUCGAUGUGACAUAUAAAGAGAACAAACGCGAUUGCAGUGAUGGUGAUGAUGAAGUUCCCAGUGAUAGUGAUGAUGAAGUUCCAAGUGAUAGUGAUGAUGAAGUUACCAAAGUGACCAAGAUGUUAUACUAAGAAAUUCAUGAUGCAGACAAUGGUUCCAAUUUCACUAGUGUUGGUUUGGAAAUUAUAAUAAGAAAAACUGAUAAGGGGUAUCUUGAGAUACCUGAACCUGAAAUCGCCGCUAUUGCAUUUAGCGGAGAGGUAUACAUUUUAAGUUGGGGUAUUAAUUCUAACAGAACCAUCAAUGCAUGGGGAGAAGUAAAAGAAUAUACAAACAUUCUCUAUGGUAAAGGAAGGAGGGGAAGUCUUGUUGUUAUAGAGUCUAAGAAAAAGAGUAUAAGUGAUCCAAAUCCCUAUAUGGUCAGUGUGUUUCACUAUUUAGCCGUUGAUGACGGAAAUGUUUUCAAUCCAAAAAUGGAUAUUGGCUUUUCUGUGGUUGUAAAGAUUCAAGCAUCAGAUGAUUUGGGAUUGAAAUAUACUGUAGAGGGUCCAGAGAGACACCCUAGUUCAUCAUUAUUUUACAUGUUUGAACGAGUAAAAAGACUUAAUGGGGGCAUGGAAGCCUAAUUUGUGUCCUCAUUGUGCAAAUCUUCAGAUGCAGCGUAAAUCCUGGCAGACGUCUGAAAGUGAAGACAGCGAUUAUGUUCCACGACGACAUGGUAAUGGUAAGCAGAAGUCAGAAAGUAUGGUUGCCAAUGAUUCUAACGUUAAGGGAAAUUAUAAUGGUAGUUUGUUUGGGAAGUAUUUCCAUUUUCAUAAAAGGUGAAAUAUGUAAUGGAAUCCUUUAAUAUGAAAAGAAAGAAAAUAAUAUUAGUAGUAAAAUAAAGUGGUUAAGGCAUGGUUAGCCACGGAUUAAGAUGGGUACCAUACCCUAACUCAUGUGUCGUCAAUAAUAAUAAGUCGUAUUUGUAACUAAGUGAGUUGUUAAUUAGAGAGCAUUUUAAAAUAUUGGUAUGUAAAUUUGUGUGUUGCACACACCCUGUUGAAUGGGUUUUAGAUAUUUUUUAAUUGUUGUGGAUGACAAAAGUAUGUUUACUUGGAUAUUUAUUAUGAGGAUAAAAUAUGAAAUAUCAUC
Molecule: long non-coding RNA, 1322 nt
Organism: Lathyrus oleraceus (garden pea)
Lineage: Eukaryota; Viridiplantae; Streptophyta; Magnoliopsida; Fabales; Fabaceae
Exons: 2
Source: RefSeq, a predicted model, not a curated record